RNAcentral lists this long non-coding RNA (1024 nucleotides) under Homo sapiens (human). Its description in RNAcentral is "non-protein coding lnc-CYTH4-2:1". Lineage: Eukaryota; Metazoa; Chordata; Mammalia; Primates; Hominidae. The record is from RNAcentral.
CGUGGCUCCAGAGACUGACGCUGUGCCUGGGUGGAGGUGUCUUCAGUCAAUACUUACCGAAUGCAUGACUCCAUGGAAGGAUCAAGGAGUGGAGGACAAGACUGGCAGGUGGACACAUGGACUGGGCCAGAUCACAAAAGGUCUUAAGUAUUAGCGUAAGAAGGCUGGCAUGGAUCAUCAGGCCCACCUUCCAGGAGGGGAGACUGAGGCCCCACCAGGCUCAGAAAUGCCCCCAUAGUCAAAUGACCUGGCCCAUUCCAAGUGGAGCCUGUGACCCCACCCCACCCUUGAGCUUCUCCCACUGCAUUUAAGCCCAGCCCAGCCCGGCACUGGGAGCUGUUCUGGAAACAGGGCACUGUCUGCCCCAAGUUCUGCCCGGAACUGGCCCCCCCCACCUACCCCUAAGUGCCCCCCUUAGUUGGCAAAUGCCUCGAGAGUCUCCUUCCUUCCCUUCUCCACCGCAACCAUCCUGAGAAUAUCCUCACAGAGAAGAAAGAGGCAAGGAGAUUCCUUAAAAAGCCAAAUAUCCUGGUGAGAAGCUGCUAUUAACCUCCUGGGAAGCUCCAGAGAAGAAAUAGCAGGGAGUGGGGAGGCUGCCCGACUCCUGGGCAAUGAUGGAGAGCCAGGAGGCGGCGUCAGGUGCAGAGAAGAAAUAGCAGGGAGCGGGGAGGCUGCCCGACUCCUGGGCAGUGAUGGAGAGCCAGGAGGCAGUGUCAGGUGGCGGGUGGGCGGAGAGGCGGCAGCAUCCAAUGAUUCCCAUCACACAUUCAACGUCUGGCAGCUCCUGCUGAGUGAGCACCUGCUGAAUGCUCAGGGGCCUCUGCAGGCGCGGCAAACCUUGAGGGCAGAGCCGGUGGUGCCAACUCCAUGAUACAGAUGAGAAAAGUGAGGCCCAGGCGAGGCAAUGGGCACGUGGACGUAACCAAGGUCACACAGCUCAGGAAGGCCGGGACUGCAGCUUUGAAACCACAUCUGUCUGAAGCCGAAGUCUAGGAGAGAAAUAGACAGAUGGAGGGCAGCAGGG